This 460-nucleotide ribosomal RNA is filed under the name uncultured bacterium. Its description in RNAcentral is "partial 16S ribosomal RNA". It matches the Rfam family "Bacterial small subunit ribosomal RNA", at positions 338 to 795 of the family's 1533-position model. The record is from RNAcentral.
CCUACGGGUGGCAGCAGUGAGGAAUAUUGGUCAAUGGACGAGAGUCUGAACCAGCCAAGUAGCGUGAAGGAUGACUGCCCUAUGGGUUGUACACUUCUUUUAUAUGGGAAUAAAACAGGGUAUGCAUACCCUCUUGUAUGUACCAUAUGAAUAAGGAUCGGAUAACUCCGUGCCAGCAGCCGCGGUAAUACGGAGGAUCCGAGCGUUAUCCGGGUGUAUUGGGUUUAAAGGGAGCGUAUGUGGAUUGUUAAAUGAGUUGUGAAAGUUUGCGGGUCAACCGUAAAAUUGCAGUUGAAACUGGCAGUCUCGAGUACAGUAGAGGUGGGCGGAAGUCGUGGUGUAGCGGUGAAAUGCUUAGAUAUCACGAAGAACUCCGAUUGCGAAGGCAGCUCACUGGACUGCAACUGACACUGAUGCUCGAAAGUGUGGGUAUCAAACAGGAUUAGAUACCCGUGUAGUC